Molecule: long non-coding RNA, 508 nt
Organism: Suricata suricatta (meerkat)
Lineage: Eukaryota; Metazoa; Chordata; Mammalia; Carnivora; Herpestidae
Exons: 3
Source: RefSeq, a predicted model, not a curated record
CGAUUGGGCGCCUCAGGAGUUGUCCCUCCUUAAUGCGCGCCCUUUCAGGAGAAGCCGGCGCCUUCCCCAUUAAGUAAAGGGGAAGGCUGGAUCGGACCUGCCGCUGGCAGGGGAACGCCCCCCCCAUGGCCGCCUGGCGCAUCUCCACCGUGGAGGUGCGCCUCGACCGGCUCCGGGAAAGUUGGGACGGCCCAGUGGUGAGGGCCUGAUUGGACCUGCAUUCUUACAGUACUUUUGCCAAUAGGCUUGAAUAUCUUAUUUAAGCCAUUUGACUAGUAAAGCAUACUGAGCAUUGUGAGUCUGUGUGCAGCCUGCUCAGUAGAAGGGAUUACACAAAGGAGCCCCUCUCUUGGAGAGGUGAGGGGUAACAGCCAUCAAGAGGUGUUCCCGAGGAGUCCUUGGAUUAUUUGUGGUUUGGCCCCGUUCAAGUUCAAGAAGAGUUCAUGGCUCCACCUGCUGCUUUGGGAUGCUUGUGAGUCGAACUGUCUCUCUCCAAGUGUUGAGAUCC